CUAAUACCGGAUAAGAAAGACGGAUCGCAUGAUCAGCUUUUAAAAGGACGGCGUAAGCUGUCGCUAUGGGAUGGCCCCGCGGUGCAUUAGCUAGUUGGUAAGGUAAAGGCUUACCAAGGCGAUGAUGCAUAGCCGAGUUGAGAGACUGAUCGGCCACAUUGGGACUGAGACACGGCCCAAACUCCUACGGGAGGCAGCAGCA
RNAcentral lists this ribosomal RNA (202 nucleotides) under uncultured Lactobacillus sp. RNAcentral's name for it is "partial 16S ribosomal RNA". It matches the Rfam family "Bacterial small subunit ribosomal RNA", at positions 163 to 355 of the family's 1533-position model. The record is from RNAcentral. Lineage: Bacteria; Bacillati; Bacillota; Bacilli; Lactobacillales; Lactobacillaceae.